GGCAGGAGCCGCCUUCGCCGCGUCUUUGGUGAUGCGGUGUUAAACUGAGCCGGUACACCCCAAGGGCUGGCUGUGCUUUGUAGCGUGCUGCUGCCGUUCACCCCCGUGGCUUGCCACAAAAACGUGGGAAAUGUCUGCUGCACGGAGCGGAUUACAGUAACCAGCAGCAUGUUUAUUUAAGGCUGCCUCUUACGGAAAGUUAUUGAGUUUCCUAGUUCUCAUGUGUGAGGGCUGAUUCAUGCCUACGUCUCUCUUGGCUCAGGAGGAAAUCACAUCUGAACAGAAAGUGUGAGUUUCUUUGUUGGUUUUGGCAGUGGAAAGAUCUUCUCCUGUUACGGGAAACGUCAGCGCCUGCCUUAAGGUCCUUGGAAGCACAUGAGUGUCAGAGCCGUGAUGUCACAGCCAGCUGGAAGGAGCCACAGCUUUCCUUGCCCUCCUGCAGCCACCGGAGAUGGACACGGCCCCUGGUAUGUUAUAUUGCCUCGUCACAAAUGAGCAAUAAAGAAAAAUCACCUUUAAGCUUUGAA
This is a long non-coding RNA of Pezoporus occidentalis (night parrot), 527 nucleotides long. RefSeq lists it as uncharacterized. The transcript has 2 exons. Lineage: Eukaryota; Metazoa; Chordata; Aves; Psittaciformes; Psittacidae. The record is from RefSeq and is a predicted model, not a curated record.